Molecule: long non-coding RNA, 1671 nt
Organism: Phyllostomus discolor (pale spear-nosed bat)
Lineage: Eukaryota; Metazoa; Chordata; Mammalia; Chiroptera; Phyllostomidae
Exons: 2
Source: RefSeq, a predicted model, not a curated record
AUUUACUACUUAAUAUUUUAAUUAUUCUUCCAGACUAAGUCUUCUAAAUCUUGUUUUAUACUUACAGCACAUCUCAGUUGGAACAGCCACAUUCAAAUGACCAAAGCUACCUGUGAUGGGUGGUUACUGUGUGAGGCAGUGCAAUUCCGGAAUACAGGAAGAAGUAUGUAAGACACUCUUUUUCCAGCUUAUUUUAGUCCUCCACUUACUUAACACUUUCCAAUUAAUUAAUGCUCAGAUCUCACAUAUGGUAUCUUUAACCUUUCACUUGACAAGAAGGCAAUUACCUAUUUUGGCAACACAUUCAGUGUCAAAUGAAUGUUUUAAACAUCAAAUGCCACCAGAAUUUGGAGAAAAGUCAGCAAGUCCCAGCAUAAUGAUACUUUCAUUAACCAGUGCUCCACCAACAAGGUGUGAUCAUGGACAAAUGGUCUAUGGUAAAACCACACCAAAUACAAGUUUUUGCUUGAGAAUAAAAGUAUUAACAAGAUUAAGAAAAAAUGACAUUCUGGAGCACUCAGCAGUGCAGAAUGGUUGCAGCACAGUCCAUCAAGUAAGCCCUAAGAAAUCUAAAAGAGAGUCUCCUAGGCUCUCCACACUGUUCAGCUGUGAGCAUGCAGUACAGUCAAGGUCCUGCCUGACUUUGGAUGACAGGCCUCGAGCACGGGAGAACAGGAAAGCCACAGCACAGCACAGUGUACUGGGCUAGGAAACCUAUGGAGCCUGGAAAGGUGGGUGGGAAAGACAGAAGCAAGAAGGCAGAUAGCUAGCUAGCUUCACGCUUUUUCCAUCCUUCUCUUUUAUGCCAAAUCAACCUGGGAAAAAACUAAUCUGGGAAAACAGCUGUCCCAGACUUACAGGCUGCUACAGUAUAGAAAACCUUACAUAUGAGGAGGCAUCGAAGAACCUUAUAUAGUUUCUCAAUCUGGACCCUGAUUCUGCAGUAUAAGUCUUUUCCUGGUCUUGAGAAAGCUGGGGCAUGUUCUAGACCAUUUGCCCUGAGGAGAAAGUAGAGUCAGUACCACCCCCUACUGGAGGGGGUGAACCCCCUGACAAGCAAUGAUUGGAAAAAUGCCAUGAUUUACACAACCACUAUUUCACCCUCUUCCGAAUAAAAACUGGAGGAACUCAGGCCUAUAUAAUAGGUGUAUUAAUCCAACACUGUCACUCAGUUAAAAAAAAUUUUAUAGCUCUAUCCAAACCCUAUUUAAAAUGGGAAAGAGAAAUUAGGCUGAAUGUGAAGAUUCUUUCAUCAGUUAGAGGCAUGUUUUCAUUUAAAAAUUUUUUUUGAAUUCAGUAUCAUCUCCAUUUUGUUGCCUUGAAAUGUGUUAUUCUGCUUUAUUCUUCUGACAAAUAUCGAGCACUUAUAUAUCAGGAGGUUCCUUGGAAUAUGUCAGAGAACAAAGACAAAACUCAUGGAGCUUACACAUUCUUACACGUAUCUUCUGCAUCAUUUAACUUCACAUUAUAAGGCUUCUACUGAUGAAUACUAUUAUUAAAUCACACCUUCAUGAACAGAGGUAUGCUACGUAUAUAUUAGUUAUUGAAACAUCUAAAAUUUUAAAGGGAACAGAAACUAAAUACUAUUGACUUGAGCAAUUCACCUUUCAGUGAGCUACUCAACAAAAACUGGAAAAGCCUGAAGUUAAUAAAGAAUAUGCAAUAACUCUA